GACAGAGGAGCCAAGCGUUGUCCGGAUUGACUGGGCGUAAAGCGCACGCAGGCGGCCGUGCACGUGGGGUGUGAAAGCUGGCGGCUUAACUGCCAGACGCCACCUCAUACGGCACGGCUCGAGCCCGUGAGAGGUCCACGGAAUUGCCGGUGUAGUGGUGAAAUGCGUAGAGAUCGGCAGGAACACCCAGGGGGAAACCAGUGGACUGGCACGGUACUGACGCUCAGGUGCGAAAGCGUGGGGAGCGAACCGG
Molecule: ribosomal RNA, 253 nt
Filed under: uncultured bacterium
Lineage: Bacteria
Description: partial 16S ribosomal RNA
Rfam family: Bacterial small subunit ribosomal RNA
Source: RNAcentral